GGGUGGCGAGUGGCGCACGGGUGAGUAAUACAUCGGAACGUGUCCUGUUGUGGGGGAUAACUGCUCGAAAGGGUGGCUAAUACCGCAUGAGACCUGAGGGUGAAAGCGGGGGAUCGCAAGACCUCGCGCAAUUGGAGCGGCCGAUGCCCGAUUAGCUAGUUGGUGAGGUAAAGGCUCACCAAGGCGACGAUCGGUAGCUGGUCUGAGAGGACGACCAGCCACACUGGGACUGAGACACGGCCCAGACUCC
RNAcentral lists this ribosomal RNA (250 nucleotides) under uncultured Burkholderiales bacterium. Its description in RNAcentral is "partial 16S ribosomal RNA". It matches the Rfam family "Bacterial small subunit ribosomal RNA", at positions 86 to 339 of the family's 1533-position model. The record is from RNAcentral. Lineage: Bacteria; Pseudomonadati; Pseudomonadota; Betaproteobacteria; Burkholderiales.